UGGAGAGUUUGAUCCUGGCUCAGGAUGAACGCUAGCUACAGGCUUAACACAUGCAAGUCGAGGGGCAUCAGUUUGGUUUGCUUGCAAACCAAAGCUGGCGACCGGCGCACGGGUGAGUAACACGUAUCCAACCUGCCUCAUACUCGGGGAUAGCCUUUCGAAAGAAAGAUUAAUACCCGAUGGCAUAGUUCUUCCGCAUGGUAGAACUAUUAAAGGAUUUCGGUCAUCGAUGGGGAUGCGUUCCAUUAGGUUGUUGGCGGGGUAACGGCCCACCAAGCCUUCGAUGGAUAGGGGUUCUGAGAGGAAGGUCCCCCACAUUGGAACUGAGACACGGUCCAAACUCCUACGGGAGGCAGCAGUGAGGAAUAUUGGUCAAUGGACGAGAGUCUGAACCAGCCAAGUAGCGUGAAGGAUGACUGCCCUAUGGGUUGUAAACUUCUUUUAUACGGGAAUAAAGUGAGGCACGUGUGCCUUUUUGUAUGUACCGUAUGAAUAAGGAUCGGCUAACUCCGUGCCAGCAGCCGCGGUAAUACGGAGGAUCCGAGCGUUAUCCGGAUUUAUUGGGUUUAAAGGGAGCGUAGGCGGACGCUUAAGUCAGUUGUGAAAGUUUGCGGCUCAACCGUAAAAUUGCAGUUGAUACUGGCAGUCUUGAGUACAGUAGAGGCAGGCGGAAUUCGUGGUGUAGCGGUGAAAUGCUUAGAUAUCACGAAGAACUCCGAUUGCGAAGGCAGCUCACUGGACUGUAACUGACGCUGAUGCUCGAAAGUGUGGGUAUCAAACAGGAUUAGAUACCCUGGUAGUCCACACAGUAAACGAUGAAUACUCGCUGUUUGCGAUAUACAGUAAGCGGCCAAGCGAAAGCGUUAAGUAUUCCACCUGGGGAGUACGCCGGCAACGGUGAAACUCAAAGGAAUUGACGGGGGCCCGCACAAGCGGAGGAACAUGUGGUUUAAUUCGAUGAUACGCGAGGAACCUUACCCGGGCUUAAAUUGCAAAUGAAUUAUGGGGAAACCCAUAGGCCGUAAGGCAUUUGUGAAGG
Molecule: ribosomal RNA, 1039 nt
Filed under: Turicibacter sanguinis
Lineage: Bacteria; Bacillati; Bacillota; Erysipelotrichia; Erysipelotrichales; Turicibacteraceae
Description: bacterial SSU rRNA
Rfam family: Bacterial small subunit ribosomal RNA
Source: RNAcentral